This 250-nucleotide ribosomal RNA is filed under the name uncultured bacterium. Its description in RNAcentral is "partial 16S ribosomal RNA". It matches the Rfam family "Bacterial small subunit ribosomal RNA", at positions 524 to 775 of the family's 1533-position model. The record is from RNAcentral.
UACAUGGGGUGCAAACGUUGCUCGGAAUUAUUGGGCGUAAAGCGCGCGUAGGCGGUUACUCAAGUCGGAUGUGAAGCCCUCGGCUUAACUGAGGAAGUGCACCCGAAACUGAGUAGCUAGAGUACUAAAGAGGGUCGCGGAAUUCCGGUGUAGAGGUGAAAUUCGUAGAUAUCGGGAGGAACACCGGUGGCGAAGGCGGCGACCUGGGUAGAUACUGACGCUGAGGCGCGAAAGCGUGGGGAGCAACAGG